RNAcentral lists this ribosomal RNA (497 nucleotides) under uncultured bacterium. RNAcentral's name for it is "partial 16S ribosomal RNA". It matches the Rfam family "Bacterial small subunit ribosomal RNA", at positions 28 to 507 of the family's 1533-position model. The record is from RNAcentral.
GAUGAACGCUGGCGGCGUGCCUAACACAUGCAAGUCGAGCGGACGGACGAGAAGCUUGUUGCGCUGAUGUUAGCGGCGCGCGGGAGAGUAACACGUGGAUAACCUACCUAUAAGACUGGGAUAACUUCGGGAAACCGGACCUAGUACCGGAUGAUAGUUUGAGCCGCAUGGUUCAAAAGUGAAAGACGGUCUUGCUGGUACUUCUAUAUCUUACCGCGCUGCAUUAGCUAGUUGGUAAGGUAACGACUUACCAAGGCGACGAUGCAUAGCCGACCUGGGAGAGUGAUAGGCCACACUGGAACUGAGACACGGUCCAGACUCCUACGGGAGGCAGCAGUAGGGAAUUUUCCGCAAUGGGCGAAAGCCUGACGGAGCAACGCCGCGUGAGUGAUGAAGGUCUUCGGAUCGUAAAACUCUGUUAUUAGGGAAGAACAUAUGUGUAAGUAACUGUGCACAUCUUGACGGUACCUAAUCAGAAAGCCACGGCUAACUACGUG